UGGGGAAUAUUGGACAAUGGGCGCAAGCCUGAUCCAGCCAUGCCGCGUGAGUGAUGAAGGCCUUAGGGUUGUAAAGCUCUUUNGCCGNCGAAGAUAAUGACGGUACCCGGAGAAUAAGCCCCGGCUAACUUCGUG
RNAcentral lists this ribosomal RNA (135 nucleotides) under trichloroacetic-acid-degrading bacterium 'Band G'. Its description in RNAcentral is "partial 16S ribosomal RNA". It matches the Rfam family "Bacterial small subunit ribosomal RNA", at positions 355 to 507 of the family's 1533-position model. The record is from RNAcentral. Lineage: Bacteria; Pseudomonadati; Pseudomonadota; Alphaproteobacteria; Hyphomicrobiales; Rhizobiaceae.